This 104-nucleotide ribosomal RNA is filed under the name Escherichia coli. RNAcentral describes it as "partial 23S ribosomal RNA". The stretch from base 1 to 87 matches the Rfam family "Bacterial large subunit ribosomal RNA", at positions 2839 to 2925 of the family's 2925-position model. Lineage: Bacteria; Pseudomonadati; Pseudomonadota; Gammaproteobacteria; Enterobacterales; Enterobacteriaceae. The record is from RNAcentral.
UGAAGACGACGACGUUGAUAGGCCGGGUGUGUAAGCGCAGCGAUGCGUUGAGCUAACCAGUACUAAUGAACCGUGAGGCUUAACCUUACAACGCCGAAGCUGUU